RNAcentral lists this ribosomal RNA (199 nucleotides) under uncultured bacterium. Its description in RNAcentral is "partial 16S ribosomal RNA". It matches the Rfam family "Bacterial small subunit ribosomal RNA", at positions 328 to 539 of the family's 1533-position model. The record is from RNAcentral.
ACGCUCGACACCUACGGGAGUCAGCAGUCGGGAAUAUUGCGCAAUGGAGGAAACUCUGACGCAGUGACGCCGCGUAUAGGAAGAAGGUUUUCGGAUUGUAAACUAUUGUCGUUAGGGAAGAGAAAGGACAGUACCUAAGGAGGAAGCUCCGGCUAACUACGUGCCAACAGCCGCGGUAAUCUGAGCGGGCUGGCAAGGC